AGCGUACACGGUGGAUGCCCUGGCAGUCAGAGGCGAUGAAGGACGUGCUAAUCUGCGAUAAGCGCCGGUAAGGUGAUAUGAACCGUUAUAACCGGCGAUUUCCGAAUGGGGAAACCCAGUGUGAUUCGUCACACUAUCAUUAACUGAAUCCAUAGGUUAAUGAGGCGAACCGGGGGAACUGAAACAUCUAAGUACCCCGAGGAAAAGAAAUCAACCGAGAUUCCCCCAGUAGCGGCGAGCGAACGGGGAGGAGCCCAGAGCCUGAAUCAGCAUGUGUGUUAGUGGAAGCGUCUGGAAAGGCGCGCGAUACAGGGUGACAGCCCCGUACACAAAAGCGCAUGUGCUGUGAGCUCGAUGAGUAGGGCGGGACACGUGGUAUCCUGUCUGAAUAUGGGGGGACCAUCCUCCAAGGCUAAAUACUCCUGACUGACCGAUAGUGAACCAGUACCGUGAGGGAAAGGCGAAAAGAACCCCGGCGAGGGGAGUGAAAAAGAACCUGAAACCGUGUACGUACAAGCAGUGGGAGCACAGGUUUACCUGUGUGACUGCGUACCUUUUGUAUAAUGGGUCAGCGACUUAUAUUCUGUAGCAAGGUUAACCGAAUAGGGGAGCCGGAGGGAAACCGAGUCUUAAUUGGGCGUUAAGUUGCAGGGUAUAGACCCGAAACCCGGUGAUCUAGCCAUGGGCAGGUUGAAGGUUGGGUAACACUAACUGGAGGACCGAACCGACUAAUGUUGAAAAAUUAGCGGAUGACCUGUGGCUGGGGGUGAAAGGCCAAUCAAACCGGGAGAUAGCUGGUUCUCCCCGAAAGCUAUUUAGGUAGCGCCUCGUGAAUUCAUCUCCGGGGGUAGAGCACUGUUUCGGCUAGGGGGCCAUCCCGGCUUACCAACCCGAUGCAAACUGCGAAUACCGGAGAAUGUUAUCACGGGAGACACACGGCGGGUGCUAACGUCCGUCGUGAAGAGGGAAACAACCCAGACCGCCAGCUAAGGUCCCAAAGUCAUGGUUAAGUGGGAAACGAUGUGGGAAGGCCCAGACAGCCAGGAUGUUGGCUUAGAAGCAGCCAUCAUUUAAAGAAAGCGUAAUAGCUCACUGGUCGAGUCGGCCUGCGCGGAAGAUGUAACGGGGCUAAACCAUGCACCGAAGCUGCGGCAGCGACGCUGAUGCGUUGUUGGGUAGGGGAGCGUUCUGUAAGCCUGCGAAGGUGACCUGUGAGGGUUGCUGGAGGUAUCAGAAGUGCGAAUGCUGACAUAAGUAACGAUAAAGCGGGUGAAAAGCCCGCUCGCCGGAAGACCAAGGGUUCCUGUCCAACGUUAAUCGGGGCAGGGUGAGUCGACCCCUAAGGCGAGGCCGAAAGGCGUAGUCGAUGGGAAACGGGUUAAUAUUCCCGUACUUGGUGUUACUGCGAAGGGGGGACGGAGAAGGCUAUGUUGGCCGGGCGACGGUUGUCCCGGUUUAAGCGUGUAGGUGUGUGUUCCAGGUAAAUCCGGUUCACUUUAACACUGAGGCGUGACGACGAGGCACUACGGUGCUGAAGCAACAAAUGCCCUGCUUCCAGGAAAAGCCUCUAAGCAUCAGGUAACACGAAAUCGUACCCCAAACCGACACAGGUGGUCAGGUAGAGAAUACCAAGGCGCUUGAGAGAACUCGGGUGAAGGAACUAGGCAAAAUGGUGCCGUAACUUCGGGAGAAGGCACGCUGACACGUAGGUGAAGUGAUUUACUCAUGGAGCUGAAGUCAGUCGAAGAUACCAGCUGGCUGCAACUGUUUAUUAAAAACACAGCACUGUGCAAACACGAAAGUGGACGUAUACGGUGUGACGCCUGCCCGGUGCCGGAAGGUUAAUUGAUGGGGUCAGCGCAAGCGAAGCUCCUGAUCGAAGCCCCGGUAAACGGCGGCCGUAACUAUAACGGUCCUAAGGUAGCGAAAUUCCUUGUCGGGUAAGUUCCGACCUGCACGAAUGGCGUAAUGAUGGCCAGGCUGUCUCCACCCGAGACUCAGUGAAAUUGAACUCGCUGUGAAGAUGCAGUGUACCCGCGGCAAGACGGAAAGACCCCGUGAACCUUUACUAUAGCUUGACACUGAACAUUGAGCCUUGAUGUGUAGGAUAGGUGGGAGGCUUUGAAGUGUGGACGCCAGUCUGCAUGGAGCCGACCUUGAAAUACCACCCUUUAAUGUUUGAUGUUCUAACGUGGACCCGUAAUCCGGGUUGCGGACAGUGUCUGGUGGGUAGUUUGACUGGGGCGGUCUCCUCCUAAAGAGUAACGGAGGAGCACGAAGGUUGGCUAAUCCUGGUCGGACAUCAGGAGGUUAGUGCAAUGGCAUAAGCCAGCUUGACUGCGAGCGUGACGGCGCGAGCAGGUGCGAAAGCAGGUCAUAGUGAUCCGGUGGUUCUGAAUGGAAGGGCCAUCGCUCAACGGAUAAAAGGUACUCCGGGGAUAACAGGCUGAUACCGCCCAAGAGUUCAUAUCGACGGCGGUGUUUGGCACCUCGAUGUCGGCUCAUCACAUCCUGGGGCUGAAGUAGGUCCCAAGGGUAUGGCUGUUCGCCAUUUAAAGUGGUACGCGAGCUGGGUUUAGAACGUCGUGAGACAGUUCGGUCCCUAUCUGCCGUGGGCGCUGGAGAACUGAGGGGGGCUGCUCCUAGUACGAGAGGACCGGAGUGGACGCAUCACUGGUGUUCGGGUUGUCAUGCCAAUGGCACUGCCCGGUAGCUAAAUGCGGAAGAGAUAAGUGCUGAAAGCAUCUAAGCACGAAACUUGCCCCGAGAUGAGUUCU
This 2777-nucleotide ribosomal RNA is filed under the name Salmonella enterica subsp. enterica serovar Typhimurium. Its description in RNAcentral is "bacterial LSU rRNA". It matches the Rfam family "Bacterial large subunit ribosomal RNA". The record is from RNAcentral. Lineage: Bacteria; Pseudomonadati; Pseudomonadota; Gammaproteobacteria; Enterobacterales; Enterobacteriaceae.